RNAcentral lists this ribosomal RNA (385 nucleotides) under uncultured bacterium. RNAcentral's name for it is "partial 16S ribosomal RNA". It matches the Rfam family "Bacterial small subunit ribosomal RNA", at positions 355 to 733 of the family's 1533-position model. The record is from RNAcentral.
UGGGGAAUAUUGCACAAUGGGCGCAAGCCUGAUGCAGCCAUGCCGCGUGUGUGAAGAAGGCCUUCGGGUUGUAAAGCACUUUCAGCGAGGAGGAAGGUGGUGAACUUAAUACGUUCAUCAAUUGACGUUACUCGCAGAAGAAGCACCGGCUAACUCCGUGCCAGCAGCCGCGGUAAUACGGAGGGUGCAAGCGUUAAUCGGAAUUACUGGGCGUAAAGCGCACGCAGGCGGUUUGUUAAGUCAGAUGUGAAAUCCCCGGGCUCAACCUGGGAACUGCAUUUGAAACUGCAAGCUAGAGUCUCGUAGAGGGGGGUAGAAUUCCAGGUGUAGCGGUGAAAUGCGUAGAGAUCUGGAGGAAUACCGGUGGCGAAGGCGGCCCCCUGGA